AAAGCGUGCGUAGGUGGUUGUUUAAGUCUGUUGUGAAAGCCCUGGGCUCAACCUGGGAAUUGCAGUGGAUACUGGGCAACUAGAGUGUGGUAGAGGGUAGUGGAAUUCCCGGUGUAGCAGUGAAAUGCGUAGAGAUCGGGAGGAACAUCCAUGGCGAAGGCAGCUACCUGGACCAACACUGACACUGAGGCACGAAAGCGUGGGGAGCAAACAGGAUUAGAUACCCGGGU
RNAcentral lists this ribosomal RNA (230 nucleotides) under uncultured bacterium. RNAcentral's name for it is "partial 16S ribosomal RNA". It matches the Rfam family "Bacterial small subunit ribosomal RNA", at positions 562 to 791 of the family's 1533-position model. The record is from RNAcentral.